UACGGAGGGGGCAAGCGUUGUUCGGAAUUACUGGGCGUAAAGCGUGUGUAGGCGGGCGGGCAAGUACCUCGUGAAAUCCCACGGCUCAACCGUGGAACGGCUGGGUAUACUGCCUGUCUUGAGCCAGCUAGGGGCGACCGGAACAGACGGUGGAGCGGUGAGAUGCGUAGAUAUCGUCUGGAACGCCAAAGGUGAAAACAGGUCGCUGGGGCUGAGCUGACGCUGAGACACGAAAGCCAGGGGAGCGAACGGG
RNAcentral lists this ribosomal RNA (253 nucleotides) under uncultured bacterium. RNAcentral describes it as "partial 16S ribosomal RNA". It matches the Rfam family "Bacterial small subunit ribosomal RNA", at positions 524 to 776 of the family's 1533-position model. The record is from RNAcentral.